RNAcentral lists this ribosomal RNA (253 nucleotides) under uncultured microorganism. RNAcentral's name for it is "partial 16S ribosomal RNA". It matches the Rfam family "Bacterial small subunit ribosomal RNA", at positions 524 to 776 of the family's 1533-position model. The record is from RNAcentral.
UACGUAGGUCCCGAGCGUUGUCCGGAUUUAUGGGGCGUAAAGCGCACGUAGGCGGUGCGGUAAGUCAGGGGUUAAAGGCUGCAGCUCAACUGCAGUAAGGCCUUUGAUACUAUCGUGCUAGAGUGUCAGAGAGGAUGGCGGAAUUCCCGGUGUAGUGGUGAAAUGCGUAGAUAUCGGGAGGAACACCAGUAGCGAAGGCGGCCAUCUGGCUGAUAACUGACGCUGAGGUGCGAGAGCGUGGGGAGCAAACAGG